Molecule: non-coding RNA, 75 nt
Organism: Myotis davidii
Lineage: Eukaryota; Metazoa; Chordata; Mammalia; Chiroptera; Vespertilionidae
Source: Rfam
GGUGGUUCUGGGGUGACACACCCAAGAAUCGGGCUCUCUCCUCUCUGGUUCCGGGUGUGUCACCUAAGAAAUGCA